This 468-nucleotide ribosomal RNA is filed under the name uncultured bacterium. RNAcentral's name for it is "partial 16S ribosomal RNA". It matches the Rfam family "Bacterial small subunit ribosomal RNA", at positions 28 to 507 of the family's 1533-position model. The record is from RNAcentral.
GACGAACGCUGGCGGCGUGCUUAACACAUGCAAGUCGAACGGAAAGGCCCUGCUUUUGUGGGGUGCUCGAGUGGCGAACGGGUGAGUAACACGUGAGUAACCUGCCCUUGACUUUGGGAUAACUUCAGGAAACUGGGGCUAAUACCGGAUAGGAGCUCCUGCUGCAUGGUGGUGGUUGGAAAGUUUCGGCGGUUGGGGCUGGACUCGCGGCUUAUCAGCUUGUUGGUGGGGUAGUUGCUUACCAAGGCUUUGACGGGUAGCCGGCCUGAGAGGGGGACCGGCCACAUUGGGACUGAGAUAGGGACCAGAAGCCUACGGGAGGCAGCAGGGGGGAAUAUGGCACAAUGGGCCGAAGUCUGAGGUAGCAACUCUGCGUGCGGGAUGCCGGCCUACGGGGGAAAAACCGCUUUCGCCGGUGACGAAGCGUGAGUGACGGUAAUGAGUAAAGAAGCAACGGCUAACUACGUG